Phasianus colchicus (ring-necked pheasant) is the source of this 901-nucleotide non-coding RNA. Lineage: Eukaryota; Metazoa; Chordata; Aves; Galliformes; Phasianidae. The record is from RefSeq and is a predicted model, not a curated record.
UUGAAAUCUAGUGAUCAGCGAGAUGAAAUUGCUGCAGCACGUGCAACCCUGAAAGAAAAUUCUUCUCUUCUUCAUUCAAUAUGUUCAGCUUGUUUGGAACAUUCAGAUGUUGCAUCCCUUACAGCCAGCAAGGAUUCAAUUUGUAAUGAAAUACAAAAUGCCCUCAAUGUAAUUUCUAAUGCUUCCCAAGGAGUUGGGAAUAAAAAGGGACAACCUGCAUCUUACAGAGCUACUCUAGGAAGUGCACUUGAAGAGCUUGAGCAUUUGAUUAUCCAGGACCCUCUUGUAGUGAGUGAAGAGAAAAUAAGGCCAUCGCUUGAGAAACGUUUGGAAGCUAUUAUCAGUGGAGCAGCUUUGCUAGCUGAUUCUUCCUGCACACGUGAUUUCCAUCGAGAGCGCAUCAUUGCUGAGUGCAACGCUAUCCGUCAAGCUCUCCAAGACCUGCUUUCUGAAUACAUAAACAAUGUUGAAAGGAAAACUUGUCUAUUUAAAUUUAACCCAAACCUGAGUAUGGACCUCCAGAAUGAGUAAAAAUUCAAUUAUAUCAUACAGUCUAUGGAAAGUGCUGUAUAACAGGCCUGUUAUUCCAAGGCUACUUAGCCCCCUGAGGUGGAAUACAGAGAUGGGAAGAGAAUAAAUUCCCCACAAUUCAGAAGGAGCAGUUAGAGACCUGCUACUCUACCUGGACAAUCACAGGGGCUGGGUGGUAUUCACCCAAAGGUACUGAAGGUGGUGAGUAAUCUGUUUUCUCUCAUUUAUCAGCAGUCCUGGUCAACUGGAGAGGUCCCAGAUGACUGGAGACUUUCUAAUGUGAUGCCCAUCUAUGAUAAAGAUUAGAAGGAGGAUCCAGGGAGCUAUAGGUCUGUUAGCCUGAUCUCAGUGUUGGGGAAGGUUAUGAAGC